GACGAACGCUGGCGGCGUGCCUAAUACAUGCAAGUCGAACGCAGUGGGGACGGGUGAGUAACACGUUGGUAACCUCCCAUCAGAGGGGAUAACACUUGGAAACCGGUGCUAAACCGAUACUGAUGGAUGACCCCGCGGUGCAUUAGCUAGUUGGUGAGGUAACGGCCCACCAAGGCCCCGAUGCAUAGCCGAACUGAGAGGGGGAUCGGCCACACUGGAACUGAGAAAAGGCCCAGACUCCUACGGGAGGCAGCAGUAGGGAAGCUUCGGCAAGGGACGAAAGUCUGACCGAGCAACGCCGCGUGAGUGAAGAAGGUUUUCGGAUCGUAAAACUCUGUUGUUAGAGAAGCGGUAUCUAACCAGAAAGCCACGGCUAACUACGUGCCAGCAGCCGCGGUAAUUC
Molecule: ribosomal RNA, 403 nt
Filed under: uncultured bacterium
Lineage: Bacteria
Description: partial 16S ribosomal RNA
Rfam family: Bacterial small subunit ribosomal RNA
Source: RNAcentral